CGUCAAAAAUUUGAAUUGGACCGAUAAGGACACGACAUUAAAAAAACGCGCAGUGGCGUUCUGGGUAACUUAAUACACAACAGGGUCGAGGAAAGAAUAAAAAAAAGAAAAGAAAACCUCUUCAAAUGAAGACAUUGGCAACUCAAAGCCUAACAACUUGCUUGGAUAUAUUAACGUCAAGCAUCAGAAUUUCCAAAAAAAUUUGAAUGAGAAAUAUUCCAUCCAUGUUAUGAAUAACAAAUAAAUCGCUAUAUUGAUCCUUCUAUUCUCGCACACGCUAAAGAAAAAUAGUUAGAAAUAUUUAAAAAUAAAUAAAUCGAAACGAUAUUCAAGUAAAGAGUAAACAGCCGAAAUUUAGGAGCCGAUUAAAAGUGAAAUAAACUCACUAGUGACAAUUACUUAUCUACUUACUCCCAGGAAUAACGAGUAAACAGCCGAAAUCUAGAAGCCGAUCCAGAGUAAAACAAACUUACGAGUGACAAUCACUUAUCUACUUACUCCCAGGAAUAGCGUACAUAAUAAUGUUUAAAAUUAUGACAUAAUUUAUAUAUUCCCCGGCCGCGUAUUACCAAACUGGCUAGAGCGGAGGUUCCCAACUUUUUUUGACUCACGACACCCUUUAUUAUUUUUUAAAAAUUUGGAGGCACCCUAUAGCCAAUGCUUUAUACUCUAUAGUUUAUACUGAAUACACAAUACUAAUAUAUCAAAAGUCUGUCAAACUUUUUUCAUGUUACCAA
Molecule: long non-coding RNA, 737 nt
Organism: Sipha flava (yellow sugarcane aphid)
Lineage: Eukaryota; Metazoa; Arthropoda; Insecta; Hemiptera; Aphididae
Exons: 4
Source: RefSeq, a predicted model, not a curated record